This 292-nucleotide ribosomal RNA is filed under the name uncultured bacterium. Its description in RNAcentral is "partial 16S ribosomal RNA". It matches the Rfam family "Bacterial small subunit ribosomal RNA", at positions 505 to 796 of the family's 1533-position model. The record is from RNAcentral.
GUGUCAGCAGCCGCGGUAAUACGUAGGUGGCGAGCGUUGUCCGGAUUUACUGGGCGUAAAGCGCGUGCAGGCGGUUCGUUAAGUCUGGGGUGAAAUCUCCCGGCUCAACUGGGAGGGGUUCUCAGAUACUGGCGGACUUGAGGGAGGUAGAGGAGAGUAGAAUUCUCGGUGUAGUGGUGAUAUGCGUAGAUAUCGAGAGGAAUACCAGUGGCGAAGGCGGCUCUCUGGACCUUACCUGACGCUAAGACGCGAAAGCGUGGGGAGCGAACCGGAUUAGAAACCCCUGUAGUCC